UACGGAGGGUGCAAACGUUGCUCGGAAUCAUUGGGCGUAAAGCGCACGUAGGCGGCGAAGCAAGUCGGGUGUGAAAGCCCUGGGCUCAACCCAGGAAGUGCAUUCGAAACUAUUUCGCUUGAAUCUCGGAGGGGGUCAGAGAAUUCCCGGUGUAGAGGUGAAAUUCGUAGAUAUCGGGAGGAAUACCAGUGGCGAAGGCGCUGACCUGGACGAAGAUUGACGCUGAGGUGCGAAAGCGCGGGGAGCAGACAGG
Molecule: ribosomal RNA, 253 nt
Filed under: uncultured bacterium
Lineage: Bacteria
Description: partial 16S ribosomal RNA
Rfam family: Bacterial small subunit ribosomal RNA
Source: RNAcentral